UUUGAGGGCGUUUGUGUCCCUGUGGCGUCACACUGCUCACCCUCGUUUGUUUACAUAUGGCGCCGCCGGUAGAGCAGGGAGCUUGAGAGUUUACAGGGUAUUUACCAGAUUGGAAGGACUUUGCAGUAACGGUUCCGAAAAUAUGGUACGCCAAGCACUUAAUUGCUUUGAACUGGCUGGCAUCACGUUGCUCAUCUUUCACUUCAAAGCUACUUUUGUGUUCGCUUUGUUCCACUCGAACGCUUCCGAUGUGCUUCCUUUUGGUUCCCCGGUUCCGCACGCAGCUGCCGCCCCCUCGCGCCGCUUUCAGUUUCACUCCUCUCCGCUUCCUGUCACUCUAUUUGCCUCCUCCCUGCACUGUUAAAAAAGACCGUAAAUUUACGGAACGCCACCCACGGAACGAGAGCUUCUCUUUUUCAUUGCUGCUCCAGUUCCGUAGCGGCACAUGAACCGUUGCUAUCCCAUCGUCUUUUCUUGGAAUGAGUAGAGCAAUAUCGCUGAAAAUGAAAUAUUUUGUUCAGACCACGUCACGAUUAUACUAGCAGAAAUAUGGAAGACGAUACAUGUCUUCAGCGAAGCACAUAUUUACCGUGUUUAAACGAUCCAACAGUGAUAUCGCAAUAUUCGGGCCUAACUUUUUGCUCGGAUGAAUGUGGCAGACUCAAGGACGCCGGCGUCUCGCCGUCAGCGAGUGCGCAGCGCGGAGCAAUACAGCAUUGUCACCUGAGCCGCUAACCGGAAGCCCGCGAAAUUCUUUCCUCGUAGACGCAUGAGACGCUCCGUGAAGUGUUUGGAAGUGCAUCUAGUGUUUGGUCUUUGGCCGACUGUACCCCCGCAAAGCAAAGCCAGCCGUGUGGACAGUGAAGAAGCAGAUAUUGCACGCUGAAAACAUCACCUCAUCACAGAUGCAUCGUGCACUGUGAGUUGACAGUCCCUUCUUGUGUGCUUCGACAAUCACUAUUCUUGGGACUCAACAUACAACAGGACACUAUCUUGUGGUCUCCAGAGACCAGUACAACCUGCGCUUCGGGAAACCGGUACACAUCUUUGUGGAAACUGGCCUUGAGGUGAUGCCAAUUUUUCUUUUUCUUUUUUGCAUAACACCAUCAAGCUUUCUACCAGACCUCAGUCUAUACCAUCUUGAAUCUCAGAGACAAGUGUAUAUUGUUGUGUGCGAUCCUCAGAGUUAAUGGACAGUCAUCCAUAUUCAGCUUAUGAAGUAAUAAACUCUGUUGUUGUCUCCCUCAGAAUAUCGCUGCUCAGCCAUGAUUAUGGAGGUAUAUAUAGUCUGUUUAACCAAAUUUUUGCAAAAUAUAUACACUACUUCUGUUUUGCUUAAUAACUUCGUUUUCUGACACAGAAAGUUCCAUAUGAGAGGUACAUAUCUUUCCCUGUGCAUGCUACAGUUGUUGCUAUAUGUGUGUGGUUUUCAGAGCUUGCUCAAUGCUGCUUCUUUUUCUCUUUCUUUCUUGUUUACUACACGUUUCUGAAGAUCAGGAGUAGAGAUCACAAAACGAAAAACUAGGUGUCAGUAACAUGUCUUGAGGAGCUAAUCAGAGUUGCUGUGGGUCAUGGAAUUUGUCAGGAGGGCAACAUACAGUUAUUUCUUUCUAGGUGUAUUUAAUGGAUGAGUUAUCACUUCGCUCUAUGGUUGCUGGUGCUGAGAAAUGCCUCGAUGCCAUUUUUCAUUGUUAAAAAUGGACUAUGGAAACAAGAUCAGUCAACAUGUGUGAGUGCACCUUCACUAAUCCCACAAACGCCUCUCCUCUGACAAAUUUAUUACCCUUGGGAGAGCCUCAGCAAGACAGUACUUGAUGCAUUGGAAGCAGACAAUGUUCUGCUUCCCUCUCAACGACAGGAAGUGGCACACAUGGCAGCGUCAUGGCCCUGUAUAUCCAUUGAAGGUGGGAGGCACUCCUGAUAUUUAUUCACAGGCACCUGGUUGGUAUCAUUGAGAACGAAGGGAGCCAGCAGGCAUAAAAAAAUCAAGAGGGAUACAUACAUAAAUGCGUGAGGCAAUGAGGGCCGCAGAUGAAUACAGCAAGAAGUGGGAACAUCUCAUGUGAUACAUAGCGGUCAUAUGUUCCACCACCAAAGUCAUGCACAAGUUAUUUGUAGUCUUUUCAGUAAUUUCCAAAAUAAAGGGUUA
Molecule: long non-coding RNA, 2149 nt
Organism: Ornithodoros turicata
Lineage: Eukaryota; Metazoa; Arthropoda; Arachnida; Ixodida; Argasidae
Exons: 6
Source: RefSeq, a predicted model, not a curated record